UACAGAGGGGGCAAGCGUUAUUCGGAAUUAUUGGGCGUAAAGGGCGCGUAGGCGGCUUUGCAAGUGACGGGUGAAAUCCCUCGGCUUAACCGAGGAACUGCCUGUCAGACUGUGAGGCUUGAGACCGGGAGAGGUGAGUGGAAUUCCCAGUGUAGCGGUGAAAUGCGUAGAUAUUGGGAGGAACACCAGUGGCGAAGGCGGCUCACUGGACCGGAACUGACGCUGAGGCGCGAAAGCGUGGGGAGCAAACAGGAUUAGAAACCCGGUAGUCC
This 272-nucleotide ribosomal RNA is filed under the name uncultured prokaryote. RNAcentral describes it as "partial 16S ribosomal RNA". It matches the Rfam family "Bacterial small subunit ribosomal RNA", at positions 524 to 796 of the family's 1533-position model. The record is from RNAcentral.